AAGAAAUGUAUUAAAUCCUUCUGAAAAUGUUUACAUGUGAAAAUUGCCAAAUUUUCAAAUAAAUGAAUGUCCUGUACAUUUCUUACAUUAAAAUUUAAGUUAAGGGGUAAUAAAUGAACACAUACAGGUUUAAUGAAUUUUGUUAAAUCUCACUGCAAUGGCAAUACAUUGGCUCAGUUACAGUUAAAUCUGUGAACAGACUUUAUGUUAAUGAAAUCAUUAGAGCUCUGUUCUUUGAAAUGUUACUUGACAAAGCUGUUCCACAAAGCUUUUCACAUUGUAAGAAUAAGACAAAGCCUGAAAUUAUUCACCCUCAGACAUAAAGGACUGUGAAGGAGACAAUGCAAGAGGCAGGUAUCAGAAUUCUGUUUACCUUUUGAAGUCUAGAUUCAGGGUGGCAUUAAGUGGCCAGCAAAAACAUUUGGGAUUGUUUCAUCAGAAAGUCCAAGCAAAACAUAAAUAAAUAUUUUAAUUUUUUUUUAUUAUUUUUUUAUUUUGCACCAACCAGUGUUUUGUUCCCUUCCAAAAUUAUCUUGUGCUGAUAUCUUGAUACCUUCCAUUCUGUCACCUAAUUUAUUCCAUUUAUUUUAAGAGUUUAAUUAUUAUUUUAAAAAACGCUGUAACUAAAAUGUCUUUACAAUAUAGAGCAUAUACUCCAACCUGCCACCUUUGUGUACAAAAAUCAUGAAUGCUUGUCUCUAGAAAUGUACAAAAGUUCUGCUUAGAAUAUGUGCUCAGUUUUGACAUUUUGCCUCUACACUUCUGAAUAUUUGACUGUCAUGCUCAAUUCUUUCAUUGGCAGUGGGACUGAAAAAUUCCUGAUUUUGCAACCAGACACACAAGCAGAAUUCUUACCCAUCAAAGUAAAACAAAAAUAACCUUGAGCUUUCAAAGCUGAACAAGUUACUUAAUAUUUUCAGUGUUUCCUUCUCAUUUUCUCACCAUCUUAUGGUACAUGCCUAUCCUUAUUUCUUAUACUGGAGUCUUAAACAGCUUCUUCUCUCAGGUUAUUCAAACUCAGCCAAGGACCAGAAUUGUUCCACUGAAGGCUCAGAGGAGACAUUGUGAUAUAUACUGUGGUUGCACUGGAUUAUUUCCCUUGAACAGCAAAAAUGCACAUAACAUAAGAACAUAUAUUGUAGUGGUGGAAGUGUGCAGGCUGAAAGAGUAG
Molecule: long non-coding RNA, 1171 nt
Filed under: Cyanistes caeruleus (blue tit)
Lineage: Eukaryota; Metazoa; Chordata; Aves; Passeriformes; Paridae
Description: lncRNA (ENSCCEG00000014118.1)
Source: RNAcentral